RNAcentral lists this long non-coding RNA (1450 nucleotides) under Mytilus galloprovincialis (Mediterranean mussel). The record is from RNAcentral. Lineage: Eukaryota; Metazoa; Mollusca; Bivalvia; Mytilida; Mytilidae.
AUAAAAAAUCAAAGCACCAAAGGGUGCUAUAGGCAGUUAAUCAAAAACCCAAAGGCAAACUUGGCCACGUUCAGAUGAAUAGUGUAAAGAAUUAGUCAAAAUAUUUAUCUCAGGCAUUGUUCUCAGCUAUUUCUAAAGUAUCAAAUAAUGCUUGUACAGUAAUGUUUAUGUUAUGCAAUCCUACCACUUUCAAAAGUUAUUUCCAAUUUAUAUUUAUAAAGAUUCAAUGUCUGAGAUUAUACACAUACACUGUCCUAUGUUAGGGGAGAGUUUUGUGCCAGUUAAGAUGUUUAAGCCGCCACAUUCUGUAUGUACCUGUCCAUAGUGAGGACCCACUAAUGCGGUGAUUGUUGCUGUAUAUCAUAUUUAUUUUUCAUAAUUGUUUUGUACAUUUUUUAAAAUUUUAUUAAUUUCUUGUGUAUAUACUUCUGAUUUUAGUAUGAUGUCCAAGUUAUUGUAAAUGCUCUUUUGUUCCGACGUUGGAAAGUUCCAGGCGGAAAGAACUAACUAGCCGAAAAGUUCUCCAGAACUUAUUAACUACAUUGUAGUUACUUUGUUCUUCCUCUGGUUUAAAAGUUCCACCUGAACAAGUGACUAGUUGAAAUAGUUUACAUUUUUGUUAUCAUGGUUAUUGUGUUAAGGGGCCAGCAAAAGCAAUCCUUUGGGUGUAGGAGUUUCUCCCUGCAUUAAAGAUCCAUUGGUAACCUUCGACUGUUGUCUGCUCUAAGAUCUGGUUAUUGUCUCUAUGACACAUUCCCCAUUUUCACUCUCGAUUUUUUUUUACGUCUCAAAUUAUAACUGAAUUAAAAUAUGUUGAUUACGGUUUAACUGUCUUCCAUUACUAAUAUCAUAAUAAAAAAACAUUUAUUUAAACUUUCAAUAACUGUAAUAGUAAGAAUUAAGAAAAACUUGUUUGUAACUUCAACUUGUUGAAAACAUAUUAAACGUUUCUCGAGUCUCGUUAGUCGAUACUCGUAUAUGUCUUUCUUUUUCGUUAUCAUCGACUCGUUACCUUUUUAUCGUAUCAUGCGAUUUCUUUUCUUAUUAUUUUCAUGGGGAAAUCGUUUACCAGCAUAAAGUUGCUGAAGGAACCGCAUAGAAUUGAUUCAAUAACACUUAACGAGUGUUUAAAUGUGAAAAAUUAUAAAAAGAAACAUAUAAAAAAAGUCGUAUUUUUCUGUACCGGAAAUCGAAAAGUCCUUGUAAAUCAAAAACAAUUACGGUGUGAUACGCGUCACAGAUUCGGACUUAAUAUUUUACAAAAUAUGCGACUUUGAAGUUAAAUAAUGCCGUCCUUUAGAAAACAGUUGUUAAAGUUUACAUCACAAUAUUUAUUGAACCACAUCGAGCUUAAUCAAAGCACGUGUAGCAUUAUGUUACAUUGUACACAAAAGCGAAACAAUCUUAAAAUGACCUUGACAUCGACCAAUCAGAAAACUACAAUAACAAC